RNAcentral lists this ribosomal RNA (321 nucleotides) under Cercomonas sp. RNAcentral's name for it is "SSU rRNA". The stretch from base 55 to 321 matches the Rfam family "Eukaryotic small subunit ribosomal RNA", at positions 687 to 955 of the family's 1831-position model. Lineage: Eukaryota; Cercozoa; Cercomonadida; Cercomonadidae. The record is from RNAcentral.
GAUUUCUGGUACGGCGCGCUUGGCCCGCCAGGGUUACCUGGUUGUGUGCUGGUGCGCGCCUGCCAUCCUUUUGUAUGUCAGGUCUAUCCUUUAUUGGUGUGAACUGGCUUACAAAUCUUUUACUUUGAAAAAAUUAGAGUGUUUAAAGCAGGCUUGCGCUAUGAAUACAUUAGCAUGGAAUAAUAAUUUAGGACUUUGCUCCUAUUUUAUUGGUUUCUAGGGGUAAAGUAAUGAUUGAUAGGGAUAGUUGGGGGUGCUAGUAUUCAUCGGCCAGAGGUGAAAUUCUUGGAUUCGAUGAAGACUAACUUAUGCGAAAGCAUU